AAUAGAUACCCAGGUAGUCCACGCCGUAAACGGUGGGCGCUAGGUGUGGGGAACAUUCCACGUUCUCCGUGCCGCAGCUAACGCAUUAAGCGCCCCGCCUGGGGAGUACGGCCGCAAGGCUAAAACUCAAAGGAAUUGACGGGGGCCCGCACAAGCGGCGGAGCAUGCGGCUUAAUUCGAUGCAACGCGAAGAACCUUACCUAGGCUUGACAGUUGGGGAAAUCUGGCAGAGAUGCCAGGUCCGCAAGGGCCCCAAAACAGGUGGUGCAUGACUGUCGUCAGCUCGUGUCGUGAGAUGUUGGGUUAAGUCCCGCAACGAGCGCAACCCUCGUCGUAUGUUGCCAGCGGAUAAUGCCGGGGACUCAUACGAGACUGCCGGGGUCAACUCGGAGGAAGGUGGGGAUGACGUCAAGUCAUCAUGCCCCUUAUGUCUAGGGCUGCACGCAUGCUACAAUGGCCGGUACAAAGGGCUGCGAUACCGUAAGGUGGAGCGAAUCCCAAAAAGCCGGUCUCAGUUCGGAUUGGGGUCUGCAACG
This 536-nucleotide ribosomal RNA is filed under the name uncultured bacterium. Its description in RNAcentral is "bacterial SSU rRNA". It matches the Rfam family "Bacterial small subunit ribosomal RNA", at positions 777 to 1312 of the family's 1533-position model. The record is from RNAcentral.